Molecule: unclassified non-coding RNA, 230 nt
Organism: Vulpes vulpes (red fox)
Lineage: Eukaryota; Metazoa; Chordata; Mammalia; Carnivora; Canidae
Source: Ensembl
CUGUGCCUCCUGAUUGCUGAGUAUUCAUCUGGACCUUCUGACCACCUUCCUUGUACUGUUCCAUCAGUCUACAGAUCUGGUACCUGGAUUUUUGCCCUUGGUGAUUCCUUCACCUUACUGCUGAAGAAGACACCAUUCCAGUGGACCACUGUGAUCCAGGAGGCAUUCAACCAUCAUGAUGUGGCCUUCACCUCCACUCCUGUUCCACUCAGAUUCAGAACAGCCCUUUA